CCUACGGGAGGCAGCAGUAAGGAAUAUUGGACAAUGCUCGCAAGAGUGAUCCAGCCAUGCCGCGUGCAGGAAGAAUGCCCUAUGGGUAGUAAACUGCUUUUGAACUAGAGAAAAUCCCAGUACGUGUACUGGGCUGAUAGUAUAGUUAGAAUAAGCAUCGGCUAACUUCGUGCCAGCAGCCGCGGUAAGACGAAGGAUGCAAGCGUUAUCCGGAUUCAUUGGGUUUAAAGGGAGCGUAGGUGGACUGAUAAGUCAGUGGUGAAAUCUCCGAGCUUAACUCGGAAAUUGCCAUUGAUACUGUUGGUCUUGAGUACAGUUGCUGUGGGCGGAAUAUGACAUGUAGUGGUGAAAUACAUAGAGAUGUCAUAGAACACCGAUUGCGAAGGCAGCUCACAAAGCUGUAACUGACACUGAGGCUCGAAAGUGCGGGGAUCAAACAGGAUUAGAUACCCUGGUAGUCCGCACCGUAAACGAUGAUUACUCGCUGCUAGGGGGCAACCGUUUAGUGGCGUUAGCGAAAGCGAUUAAGUUAAUCCACCUUGGGGAGUUACGCCGGCGACGGUUGAACGUUCAAUUGAAUUGACGGCUUGGAGGAGNGCGACGGACGACGACGAGGGAGGAAGG
RNAcentral lists this ribosomal RNA (624 nucleotides) under uncultured bacterium. RNAcentral's name for it is "bacterial SSU rRNA". It matches the Rfam family "Bacterial small subunit ribosomal RNA", at positions 338 to 957 of the family's 1533-position model. The record is from RNAcentral.